UGAUGCCUGGCAGUUCCCUACUCUCGCAUGGGGAGACCCCACACUACCAUCGGCGCUACGGCGUUUCACUUCUGAGUUCGGCAUGGGGUCAGGUGGGACCACCGCGCUANNNNNNNNNNNNNNNNNNNNUCAGGUGGGACCACCGCGCUACUGCCGCCAGGCAAAUUCUGUUAUCAGACCGUUUUUACGUUCUGAUGUAAUCUGAAUCAGUGCUGAAAAUCGUCUCUCAUCCGCNNNNNNNNNNNNNNNNNNNNGAAUCAGUGCUGAAAAUCGUCUCUCAUCCGCCAAAACAUCUUCGGCGUUGUAAGGUUAAGCCUCACGGUUCAUUAGUACCGGUUAGCUCAACGCAUCGCUGCGCUUACACACCCGGCCUAUCAACGUCGUCGUCUUCAACGUUCCUUCAGGAGACCUAAAGUCUCAGGGAGAACUCAUCUCGGGGCAAGUUUCGUGCUUAGAUGCUUUCAGCACUUAUCUCUUCCGCAUUUAGCUACCGGGCAGUGCCAUUGGCAUGACAACCCGAACACCAGUGAUGCGUCCACUCCGGUCCUCUCGUACUAGGAGCAGCCCCCCUCAGUUCUCCAGCGCCCACGGCAGAUAGGGACCGAACUGUCUCACGACGUUCUAAACCCAGCUCGCGUACCACUUUAAAUGGCGAACAGCCAUACCCUUGGGACCUACUUCAGCCCCAGGAUGUGAUGAGCCGACAUCGAGGUGCCAAACACCGCCGUCGAUAUGAACUCUUGGGCGGUAUCAGCCUGUUAUCCCCGGAGUACCUUUUAUCCGUUGAGCGAUGGCCCUUCCAUUCAGAACCACCGGAUCACUAUGACCUGCUUUCGCACCUGCUCGCGCCGUCACGCUCGCAGUCAAGCUGGCUUAUGCCAUUGCACUAACCUCCUGAUGUCCGACCAGGAUUAGCCAACCUUCGUGCUCCUCCGUUACUCUUUAGGAGGAGACCGCCCCAGUCAAACUACCCACCAGACACUGUCCGCAACCCGGGUAACGGGUCCACGUUAGAACAUCAAACAUUAAAGGGUGGUAUUUCAAGGUCGGCUCCAUGCAGACUGGCGUCCACACUUCAAAGCCUCCCACCUAUCCUACACAUCAAGGCUCAAUGUUCAGUGUCAAGCUAUAGUAAAGGUUCACGGGGUCUUUCCGUCUUGCCGCGGGUACACUGCAUCUUCACAGCGAGUUCAAUUUCACUGAGUCUCGGGUGGAGACAGCCUGGCCAUCAUUACGCCAUUCGUGCAGGUCGGAACUUACCCGACAAGGAAUUUCGCUACCUUAGGACCGUUAUAGUUACGGCCGCCGUUUACCGGGGCUUCGAUCAGGAGCUUCGCUUGCGCUGACCCCAUCAAUUAACCUUCCGGCACCGGGCAGGCGUCACACCGUAUACGUCCACUUUCGUGUUUGCACAGUGCUGUGUUUUUAAUAAACAGUUGCAGCCAGCUGGUAUCUUCGACUGACUUCAGCUCCAUGAGUAAAUCACUUCACCUACGUGUCAGCGUGCCUUCUCCCGAAGUUACGGCACCAUUUUGCCUAGUUCCUUCACCCGAGUUCUCUCAAGCGCCUUGGUAUUCUCUACCUGACCACCUGUGUCGGUUUGGGGUACGAUUUGAUGUUACCUGAUGCUUAGAGGCUUUUCCUGGAAGCAGGGCAUUUGUUGCUUCAGCACCGUAGUGCCUCGUCGUCACGCCUCAGUGUUAAAGUGAACCGGAUUUACCUGGAACACACACCUACACGCUUAAACCGGGACAACCGUCGCCCGGCCAACAUAGCCUUCUCCGU
Molecule: ribosomal RNA, 1785 nt
Filed under: Salmonella enterica subsp. enterica serovar Paratyphi A
Lineage: Bacteria; Pseudomonadati; Pseudomonadota; Gammaproteobacteria; Enterobacterales; Enterobacteriaceae
Description: 23S ribosomal RNA
Source: RNAcentral